AGUGAACGCUGGCGGUAGGCCUAACACAUGCAAGUCGAACGGCCGCACAGUAAGAGCUUGCUCUUAAGGGUGGCGAGUGGCGGACGGGUGAGGAAUACAUCGGAAUCUACUUUUUCGUGGGGGAUAACGUAGGGAAACUUACGCUAAUACCUCAUACGACCUACGGGUGAAAUCAGGAGAUCUUCGGACCUUGCGCGAUUGAAUGAGCCGAUGUCGGAUUAGCUAGUUGGCGGGGUAAGGGCCCACCAAGGCAACGAUCCGUAGCUGGUCUGAGAGGAUGAUCAGCCACACUGGAACUGAGACACGGUCCAGACUCCUACGGGAGGCAGCAGUGGGGAAUAUUGCACAAUGGGCGCAAGCCUGAUCCAGCCAUACCGCGUGGGUGAAGAAGGUCUUCGGGUUGUAAAGCUCUGUUGUUGGGAAAGAAAAGCAGCAGGUGAAUAUCCCGAUGUUCUGACGGUACCCAAAGAAUAAGCACCGGCUAACUUCGUG
RNAcentral lists this ribosomal RNA (492 nucleotides) under uncultured bacterium. RNAcentral describes it as "partial 16S ribosomal RNA". It matches the Rfam family "Bacterial small subunit ribosomal RNA", at positions 29 to 507 of the family's 1533-position model. The record is from RNAcentral.